RNAcentral lists this ribosomal RNA (581 nucleotides) under Bacillus sp. StRD493. RNAcentral's name for it is "bacterial SSU rRNA". It matches the Rfam family "Bacterial small subunit ribosomal RNA", at positions 102 to 669 of the family's 1533-position model. Lineage: Bacteria; Bacillati; Bacillota; Bacilli; Caryophanales; Bacillaceae. The record is from RNAcentral.
ACGGGUGAGUAACACGUGGGUAACCUGCCUGUAAGACUGGGAUAACUCCGGGAAACCGGAGCUAAUACCGGAUAGUUCCUUGAACCGCAUGGUUCAAGGAUGAAAGACGGUUUCGGCUGUCACUUACAGAUGGACCCGCGGCGCAUUAGCUAGUUGGUGAGGUAACGGCUCACCAAGGCGACGAUGCGUAGCCGACCUGAGAGGGUGAUCGGCCACACUGGGACUGAGACACGGCCCAGACUCCUACGGGAGGCAGCAGUAGGGAAUCUUCCGCAAUGGACGAAAGUCUGACGGAGCAACGCCGCGUGAGUGAUGAAGGUUUUCGGAUCGUAAAGCUCUGUUGUUAGGGAAGAACAAGUGCAAGAGUAACUGCUUGCACCUUGACGGUACCUAACCAGAAAGCCACGGCUAACUACGUGCCAGCAGCCGCGGUAAUACGUAGGUGGCAAGCGUUGUCCGGAAUUAUUGGGCGUAAAGGGCUCGCAGGCGGUUUCUUAAGUCUGAUGUGAAAGCCCCCGGCUCAACCGGGGAGGGUCAUUGGAAACUGGGAAACUUGAGUGCAGAAGAGGAGAGUGGAAUUC